CACACACGGAAAGAACUGGAGAAAAACUUCAUCUUAGGUCCAGGUAAAUACAAUAUUGUAACGGCAUUUCCCACUAUCUAUGUCCAUUUUGAUUAAACAUAAGUCUGAGAGAUGUCAAUGUCAAAAAAGGAAAUUGAUCUGUCUAGAUGCCCAUGUAGAUUUGAUCUCAGCCAGUCAAAUGUUUUGAUCAAUUAACAGUUUUACAACUGAAUAAUCUUUGAGUUAAUGAAAAGGACUUUGCGACUCGAACUUGGUGAUGCCUUGAUACUGAACAGAGAUAGUAGCUAAGGAGAGAUGCAUUUUAAAUACACUGCUUAAACCAAGAGACACUCAUAAGUAGUGUGUAGCAAUGCCAUAAACAUUGCACUCCUAAUGUUUUCCCUAAAGCACAGUAACUCAAGCACUCUUCUGCAUAAUUUUCAAAUUAAAAUCUCAUGAAAAACCAGCCAUAUAGUAUGAGAUCAUGGAUAAAUCAAUUGCACUGUCUUAAUCCAUUUAUUCUUAAAUAAAUUUAGGGUGCAAGGAUAGCAGGGAAUGAAAUAACACAACAUACAAAAGAAAAGGGGUGGGUAGGAUUCCAUUUCCCUGUUCUUCACAGCAUAGUCUCAAUAGAAGCCUGUAGGGUUCAGAUAGCUGGUCAAAUAACUUAAAAACAAAAACCAGGCAACUCCAUGAAGCCUUCAAAGGUUAUAAUCUGCAUGUCCUGUAUUCCAGGAUUAUCCUAGAAUAGUCUCCUUGGCAUCAGUUGCACUUUGGUGAGAGAACACCUAAUUAGAGCACAAAUGGUUUAGAGACCCACAGUCAGAAGAACAUGUUCAAGGCUCUUAAAAAUUAUAGAGCACCGGUUGUCAGAAGAACCUCCUAUGUAUCCAAAUUCAUUUAAGUCUAGUGACACAUUAAAUACAUUUUGGGCUGGCAUUUACCUAGAAGCAAAUUCAUCUUUGCCCACAGUUACCUUUUUGGUGGGAAAGCCCCUCUGUCGGAUACUUGAGCAGAGACAAGAAGCACUGUUACAGAUAAAAUUGCAGGAGUUAAUUCUCUGUUAAGAAACAAACAGUGAAAUCUAUCUUGUAUCCAAAAGGUGACUUUUGUGCUUAUCGGAUUAUUGAGCUUUCCCCUGAGUUAUUGAGAUGCUCACUGUGCUUUCAUGACGUGGAUUAUUGUUGUAAAUGAUUUGUUCCAACCCUUUCUUUGAUAGAUUUGGGGGAGUGGGCAGAAGCGGAGGUUCUCACCUUGUUCCUUGGCCUGCUGUACAACCCCAUCUCCUUUUCGGGAUGCUGUCCCUAGUGGUAGGCUUUGAGGAGGUGUAGCAGCACAACAUGGUUUGUAGGGACAAGAAGAUACAGACCGUUCUGGGCUGCCUCCUCUCCUCAAGGAUUAAGUCAAGAAAGGUGAUCAGCACCCUUGGAGCCAAGAAAGUUAGGAAUUUAAGGUUCCAGCACCAUCCUUAGGUUGCAUGAUCAGCCCUGAGCAGCAAUCAAAAAUGCAAAGAUGGGUGGCGUGUGAACUGGCUUGGAGUUCUGAAGAGCUGUUUGCCAUGAGAGGUCAGCUUCAGCCUGCCCUUCCAUAGAAUUCUGCAAAGCUUGCACCAAAGUAGCUUGAGGUUUGCAUCCUUCAAGCCCCAUCUUAGGAAUGAUAAGUAUGCCUUGAGUUCAGCGGCAUUCCCAAAAGAGGCUGCAUAAGCGUGCAAACCUAGUUUCCUCUGAAAGGCGAGCAGAUGCAAGUUGGCUUCCGAGGUGCAUGCAGCCAAAGAACCGCUGGCGGGGCCGUGGAGAACAGAGGAGGUUGCACUACUGCAACCCUGCAUGAUUAACUGGUCUGGCCUUCCCGCCUUCCACUCAGCUGGGGAGCAGAAGCCUGAAGCCGUCUUGGGAGCCUUGCAGAGACGGCUCCCGCGAGGAAACAUCUGUCCGCCGAGCUCUAGCAGCACGUAAAUACUGGAGUAUAGGAUUGGCUGAAUACCCUCCAGUAUUGCUUUGCUGCUCUAGCCAGGCUGGACAUUGGCACACAUGCGCUUCUGCGGAGAACAUCUGUGGACUCUUGAAACCGGGGGGGGGGAAUUGCGGCUUCCUAUCAGCUCAGGGGUGAAAGGAGCAGUCUCACUAGAAUGGCAAGAGACAGUUUCAAAGAUGAUGUGGUUCUAUCGGUGUAAUUGUGUGUUGUGUGUGCGUGUGUGAUUUCCAUGAAGCGCCCCCCCCCCCCCAAAAAAAAUCUGGUAAACUGGGUCUGGAGGCAGCUUUUCUCUUAACGAGGCAGCUAGUUGGCUGCCUCGUUAAAAGAAGGAAAGCAGCAAUCCUUUUUUGUAAGUGCUUGAAAUGCUUCAGUUACAGGAUCUCCCAAUCCCAAUAUCCCAGUGAGGUGGGCCAGCAAUAAAGAGGGGGUUAGAUUGUCUCAAAAGGCCCAGCUAUGGAUGGCCUCCUUAGUGCUGCCUGUUUAAAUUAGAUUGUGUGUGUGUGCUGAUCUGUCCUUGUUUUUGUGUUGGUUUUAUUCUUCUGUUGACUGCAUCGUUUCGCGUUCUUGUUUUGUAAACCGCUUUGGAGAGACCUAUGUUUUUAAAGGUGUGGUGUGAAUAUGUGAAAUAAAUAAAAGUAAAAUAA
Molecule: long non-coding RNA, 2597 nt
Organism: Hemicordylus capensis (graceful crag lizard)
Lineage: Eukaryota; Metazoa; Chordata; Lepidosauria; Squamata; Cordylidae
Exons: 2
Source: RefSeq, a predicted model, not a curated record